Non-coding RNA from Armillaria novae-zelandiae, 94 nucleotides. The record is from the annotation of a GenBank genome assembly. Lineage: Eukaryota; Fungi; Basidiomycota; Agaricomycetes; Agaricales; Physalacriaceae.
GCAUCAAUGGGGUAGUGGUAACCUGGGUCGUUGCCAUGUGCCAAGCUGUCAACUUGAUAUCGACCCGCCGGGGGUUCAAUUCCCCCUUGAUGCA